RNAcentral lists this ribosomal RNA (420 nucleotides) under bacterium. Its description in RNAcentral is "partial 16S ribosomal RNA". It matches the Rfam family "Bacterial small subunit ribosomal RNA", at positions 355 to 776 of the family's 1533-position model. The record is from RNAcentral.
UGGGGGAUAUUGCACAAUGGGCGAAAGCCUGAUGCAGCGACGCCGCGUGGGGGAUGAAGGCUUUCGGGUUGUAAACCUCUUUCGCUAUCGAACAAGGCCCGCUUAGGGUGGGUUGAGGGUAGGUGGAGAAGAAGCGCCGGCUAACUACGUGCCAGCAGCCGCGGUAAUACGUAGGGCGCGAGCGUUGUCCGGAAUUAUUGGGCGUAAAGGGCUUGUAGGCGGCUUGUUGCGCCUGCUGUGAAAACGCGGGGCUUAACUUCGCGCGUGCAGUGGGUACGGGCAGGCUUGAGUGUGGUGGGGGGGACUGGAAUUCCAGGUGUAGCGGUGGAAUGCGCAGAUAUCUGGAGGAACACCGAUGGCGAAGGCAGGUCACUGGGCCAUUACUGACGCUGAGGAGCGAAAGCAUGGGUAGCGAACAGG